GGGUUGUGAGGUUAAGCGACUAAGCGUACACGGUGGAUGCCCUGGCAGUCAGAGGCGAUGAAGGGCGUGCUAAUCUGCGAUAAGCGCCGGUAAGGUGAUAUGAACCGUUAUAACCGGCGAUACCCGAAUGGGGAAACCCAGUGUGAUUCGUCACACUAUCAUUAACUGAAUCCAUAGGUUAAUGAGGCGAACCGGGGGAACUGAAACAUCUAAGUACCCCGAGGAAAAGAAAUCAACCGAGAUUCCCCCAGUAGCGGCGAGCGAACGGGGAGGAGCCCAGAGCCUGAAUCAGCAUGUGUGUUAGUGGAAGCGUCUGGAAAGGCGCGCGAUACAGGGUGACAGCCCCGUACACAAAAGCGCAUGUGCUGUGAGCUCGAUGAGUAGGGCGGGACACGUGGUAUCCUGUCUGAAUAUGGGGGGACCAUCCUCCAAGGCUAAAUACUCCUGACUGACCGAUAGUGAACCAGUACCGUGAGGGAAAGGCGAAAAGAACCCCGGCGAGGGGAGUGAAAAAGAACCUGAAACCGUGUACGUACAAGCAGUGGGAGCACAGGUUUACCUGUGUGACUGCGUACCUUUUGUAUAAUGGGUCAGCGACUUAUAUUCUGUAGCAAGGUUAACCGUAUAGGGGAGCCGGAGGGAAACCGAGUCUUAAUUGGGCGUUAAGUUGCAGGGUAUAGACCCGAAACCCGGUGAUCUAGCCAUGGGC
RNAcentral lists this ribosomal RNA (709 nucleotides) under Salmonella enterica subsp. enterica serovar Typhimurium. RNAcentral describes it as "bacterial LSU rRNA". It matches the Rfam family "Bacterial large subunit ribosomal RNA", at positions 1 to 741 of the family's 2925-position model. Lineage: Bacteria; Pseudomonadati; Pseudomonadota; Gammaproteobacteria; Enterobacterales; Enterobacteriaceae. The record is from RNAcentral.